RNAcentral lists this ribosomal RNA (429 nucleotides) under Gemmatimonadota bacterium. RNAcentral's name for it is "Gemmatimonadetes bacterium partial 16S ribosomal RNA". It matches the Rfam family "Bacterial small subunit ribosomal RNA", at positions 355 to 776 of the family's 1533-position model. Lineage: Bacteria; Pseudomonadati; Gemmatimonadota. The record is from RNAcentral.
UAGGGAAUCUUCGGCAAUGGACGAAAGUCUGACCGAGCAACGCCGCGUGAGUGAAGAAGGUUUUCGGAUCGUAAAACUCUGUUGUUAGAGAAGAACAAGGACGUUAGUAACUGAACGUCCCCUGACGGUAUCUAACCAGAAAGCCACGGCUAACUACGUGCCAGCAGCCGCUGUAAUACGUAGGUGGCAAGCGUUGUCCGGAUUUAUUGGGCGUAAAGCGAGCGCAGGCGGUUUCUUAAGUCUGAUGUGAAAGCCCCCGGCUCAACCGGGGAGGGUCAUUGGAAGCUGGGAGACUUGAGUGCAGAAGAGGAGAGUGGAAUUCCAUGUGUAGCGGUGAAAUGCGUAGAUAUAUGGAGGAACACCAGUGGCGGAGGCGGCUCUCUGGUCUGUAGCUGACGCUGAGGCUCGAAAGCGUGGGGAGCAAACAGG